CUCUGAGCUUCCGCUCGCCGUUCGGCCAUGUUUUUGCAAGCAUGAAAGGAGAAGAGGGAGGCUUGCCAUCGUUCUUAUGGACUUGACCAGCGCUGACAAGAUUCCAUGCCACCCUAAUCGAAAACUGGUUGACUGGGCAUGGUUCGAAAUCAGAGUCAUGUUACGAUUUUUAUGGGGAUGCCUGUUCCAAGCUAACAAGGCCUUUGGGUCCCGGUGGCCCUUGCAUUCACGUGCAUGAUAUAGUGAAGAAAACUUAAAGGAAUCGAGGAGCAGAAUUGGAAAUGCUUCUACUUUAACUUUAAAGUCUAAAAGAUGGUAUUGGAAAAAACAUGAAGGUAGCAGAUGACCAAGGGAAAAUAAAAUCCUGGCUGAAGCAUUCAGCAGACUAGCUGAUAAGGGAAACAGCCAAUAAUUAAAGAAAUCUAUUGUGUAAAAUUUGUUAAUAAAGGUGUUUCAUUGUAUUAUUUUAGUACUGCUCUUUGUAUCAAACUUCAUGGAAUCCAUUAAAUGAA
This is a long non-coding RNA of Uloborus diversus, 512 nucleotides long. RefSeq lists it as uncharacterized. The transcript has 4 exons. The record is from RefSeq and is a predicted model, not a curated record. NCBI's taxonomy places the organism in Eukaryota, Metazoa, Arthropoda, Arachnida, Araneae, Uloboridae.